UAAUAUGUAUCUUUUUGCUGACGCUUGAGGUGCCAUAGGGCAGCAGAUGCAUGAAUGAUAAAGUGCAACGUAGCACAAUUUAUACAAUAUGAAGGUAUGAAAGGGAAGAAAAUCAUGCGCGAAAUAAAAUGAAUGCAGGAACAACUAAACAGGACCGCUGAGCGAAGAAACAGAACAUUCAAGUAACAAAGGAUGUACAGUUGCAAAUAAUAGCAUUGUUUGAACAGAAGAUGUGAAGCCAUCUGCCGCUUCCCAGGGCCCUCAGCACACAGGAUUGUUUUUUUAUUAAACAAAGUAGAACCUCUUGAUGCAUCAGUAAUUCAAAGCUUUCUGAGUAUGCAAGGCAAAAUAGCUCAACAUCCAGUUCGCUAUGAGCAUUUCUCGUAAGUGUUGUAGACGACAAAAUAUACUACAGUUAGAUCCCAAUACUGCUAUAAAUCAUUAACAGAUUACAAGAUUAUAUGCAUAAUCACAUAACCACAAAUUGUAGAAAGAGAGGUCGUAUUUAUUAAAAGAAGAAAUGGGAGGCUCAGAGUUGGCUCGUCUAUCAUAUGGGCAAAACGCACUCUGUAUCCGAUACACUUGGUGAUACACGUUGGAGAUGCCCCUGUGUGACAUUUCAGCAUUCCAAUGGUUGCUCACGGAAAGCAAGCAAUCCUCAUUUGAACGCUUCCACCUAGUCACACAAAACCCUAACACAUACCAUAAAUACAAGUGAUGGUAUCUGAGAUCUCAAUAAACCCCUGAAUGAGCGCCUUACUCAUCAUCGUCAUCAACAGCACUUUGGCGCAAAUCCCACAAAGAGAAUAACAGAUGACCAGAAACCACAGGAGAAUCAGUAAAAGCAGAAAGAAUCACUAUAUCAGGAGCAAAUCAUGAACUGGUGAACACAAAAACUGGAACAUGUAUAAGUAAAUGGCUCAGAUACACUUCCAUCUCAACACCAUAAGUGAAUUUCUGGUAGGAUGACCAUGAACAUUUAUAGUAUUUGUGAACGGAGGGAGUAAUAGUUAGCCGCUAAACUGGUUACUUGCUGUGACACAAGCCAUCCUAGUUUAGCACCAAGUGAAUCAAUUCAGGUGUUAGAUAGAAGCUCUCACAGGGACGCUAUAUCAUCACAGCCAUUCAUGAACAUGACACGAAGAAAACAGUAAUCUUAACAUGCCAUAUACGACCCUUAAGUUGAAACUUGAAACCAGUAAAGAAGUAACGAGAAACCAAAAGUACAAACUGAUAAGUAGAUAAAGAAUACAGCAGAAGAAUGAAAUUAUCAAGUCAAAUUGAUAGGGAGACGGCAGGCAUCACCACCAGCAUCCUUCCUCGUCGAUGCCUCUCCCUCACAGAUGAAGCUUUAUAAGGACAUAGGGAUGGCAUGCAUUGAUAGUGGAAGUUAAGGAGGACUACAAUGGCAAAUAUCAAUAAGAAAAUUUGACAAUGGAUGCAAAAACAGGACCAAAAACUGAAAAAUAGCAUCAACAAGAAUCUGCUUUUAAAUUGGUUCAAUAAAAAGAUUUCACACCAUCUCACCUUCCCAGAAGGUCCACACAAAGAACCAGAGCCAUAACAAAGAACCCAAAGCCAUAGGUAAUGCCAGGUUUCUUUUUCAAGCUACAGGCCCACAAUGUACAGAAUAUAUACAACUUAAUUUUCGCAAUGAGCCCAUGACCAUUCACAGUUACCAAACAGGUAUUCUUAAAAUCAAGAAGAAACAGAGAAAGUUAUUAGGGAAAAUCAAGCUGUUUUCUGGAAUAUAUUCUAAAGUUACUCACUGAUCAAAAUUACUAUAACCAAACAGUAGUAGAAGUAUCAGACACAGGUGUCAUAACAAACACAUGCACGAAUAGUUCGCAAAAUCCACAAAAAAGUUGGAGUAUUACUUGAAUGGCUCAGAUUUAACCCACCAUAUAUCACCAAAGUUGGAAAAUGCUUCAGGUAGGCCUUUCGGUACCAAACAACAACAACAACAACAACAACAACAACAACAACAACAACAACAAAGCCUUUCAGUCCCAAACAAGUUGGGGUAGGCAUGUGGAUAGCUAAUUUCCAUACACCCCUGCCCAUGGCUAGUUCUUUGGUGAUAUUCCAGUCCUUCAGGUCUCUCCUUACCAUCUUUCUCUCUCUCUCUUUCCUCGCCCAGCAACAAAUAGCCGCAACUGGUAACUUGCUGUGGAGCAAGGCCUCCUAGUAUAACGACUAACUGCUAACUGGGCAAAGUUGAAUGGAACCAAUCAUCUCUAUCUCAGGAUAUGUUGAAAGAUCUCCAACACCAAAGAGGAGGAAAUCAUCAUAGCCAUUCAGAAAAGAAUAGAACUCAUCAACACAACAGAAACAAAUAUGCUGUGUUCAGAACUUAAUUUGGAACACUAUGCUGAUGGCCGUAUUACUAGCAAUGAAAGAAGCAAUUUACAUUUGUUCACUUCAGAAAAAAGGAGUAACUGCAAGCCAAACAAAAACAGGACAACAGAAAUUUUCCAUUUUGGAAAAUAAGAAAAACAUAAGGUAGAAAUCCGAGUCAAAAACAAUAGUGUGUUCGACAUAUAUAGUUUGUGCAACUAUACAGGCAAAAACAAAGCCAGCUAGAAAUCAAUCCAAGCUAGGGCGGUUGGCUUCAUCACCAACAGAAGACAUCAAUCCAAGUCCAGAUGGGACGUUACUCACAUCAACACAAUAGAGAGGAAUAGAAAAGAAAAAACAAUGCGUAAUAGAGAAGGUAAAAUCGAAUAUUUGUGGCGUAGCAAAAGAGGGCUCAGUUUUGCCUUUCGUCUUCAAGCCCAACACUCACAUCUCUUGCUGCAUAAUCUACCCAUCGCGAAUGUAUAAGAACUGUCCUGGUUAUCAUUCAUCAGAAUGACCGUCCAAGGCGCAGAACAUAAAACAUUAGCAAUGAAUUGAACAGGCUGCAAGAGAGGUAAGGGUGUGCUCUAAUUUAGUACCCAUAGGCCACAGUUGUCUUAAUUGCUCAAGACACGCUUAUUUCAGCCACGGUCAUCAUCAUCGCCCCUGGUAAGAACUCCAUCUCUUCAUCACACAGUAGCAUGCAUACAUCAUCUAUCCAUCCAUCAGGCUGGUCAUAGUGGUAAGUAAAUUGUGCAUCCAUGAUAUCCAUUACAGGUAUGCACGCAUCCAUCCAUCCUCUUUAAUUACUUGUCGGAUCAUCUUUUUUGCCUAUGUGGCAUGCAUGUUACUACUCCCUCCGUUCCAUAAUUACUGUCGUGGCUUUAGUUCAAUCUGAACUAAAACCUAAGUUACUCCCACUAUGACUAGUCCCAGUCUCAGGAGCUGCUCACUGACCAAACCUCCGAGUGUGGACGACGCAUCAGACAACGCCUUACGGUUCCCAGCCCACGCCACAACUAAAUCCAAGGCAAUGGAAUGGCAGUGGCUGGCAGCACCGUAGAGACGGAGAACUGACGUGGCAGCCACCCGGGCGAUGGGGUAGCAAGUCGGCAAUGAGAGCUUGACUGGUUUGUUUUAGAGAGAGAGAGAGAGAGAGAGAGAGAGGCGAGGAGGAUCCAUACCGGAUCCAAAACAAAAUGCAACUGAACUGAGUAUAUGUAGCAUAGCAAAAGAGGGCUCAGUUUUGCAUUUCAUCUUCAAACCCAACACUCGCAUCUCUUGCUCCAUAAUCCACCCAUCGCAGUGUAAGAGAACUGCACUGGUAAUCACUCGUCAGAACGACCGUCCAAAGGGACAGAACAUCCAACAUUGGCAAUGAAUUGGACAGGCUGCAAGAGAGGUAAGGGUGGGCUCUAAGAGCAACUCCAACAAGGAUACCGAUUUUCUGGCACUGCUUAGUCCCACCUCGCCGAGCUGUCUUGAUUGCUCAAGACAUGAUUAUUUCAGCCACAGUCAUCAUCAUCGGCAUCACCCCUCUUUUUUUUCCAAAAAGGAGGUUGAACCCCCAAGCAACAUGACCAUGAUAUCCGUACAUACAUACUCCCUCCGUUCCAAACUAAGUGUCAUGGUUUUAGUACACGACACAUUAAUGCAGCCAUCCUUCUCAGGAGCUGCUCAUACCUGGCGUCGGCCGACCAAACUUCCCAGUGCGGAGCACGCAUCAGACAACACCGUGCGGUUCCUCCCAGCCCACGCCACAACCAAACCCAAGGCAAUGGAGCAGCGGUGGCUGGCGGCACUGUAGCGGUGGGGAACUGACGCUGGUCGGCGAUCCGGCAACGAGAGCUCGCCUGAUUUGGUUCUGGUGGUGUGAACUGCACGCGCGCACGCACGCACCGAGAGAGAGAGAGAGAGAGAGAGAGAGAGAGAGAGAGAUGGGGACCGUACCGGAUCCAAAGCGAAACGCAGCCAAGCUGCGAGAAAUCCAUGGACGGCGGCUCAGAUCCCGCGCCGGCCCGACCAAGCCCUCGACCGGAGCGCACCACGGGCACCAGCAGCCCGCACGGCCGCGGACGCCUCCCGCACCGGCGGCAGUCCCGAGGGGCCUGCGAGCCGAUGCGCGAUCCGUCGCAGCGGGAGGGGCUGGCCCCGAGGGAGCGGCGACGCGGCGCGUCCGUCGGUCGGUAGCUGGCCGGCGCCGGCGGCUCCCUCCGUCAUCGCCGCCGUCAGGAGAGGGACGCGGUCAUCGGCCACGGCGAGAGGGACGGGCGCGGCGGCAGGAUUCGGUGAGAUAUGGAUAGAGCGCUCGCAUGCUAUGCUCCGCCCCGCGCGCAGCCAUGCCGCCGGUGGCCUCUCGCAGCCGGAGUGGUCCGAGGCAUAGCUAGCUAGCUAGGGUUCGGCGCCGGCGGGAGAAGAUGGGUCCAGAUCCAGGUCCGGCUGUAGAUGCUGUAAAUAAGGACCAGUGAAAGGGUCAUUUAGCAAAAACAAUACUACUACUCCAAAUGCAUGGAGGGGAAGGGGAAUGAGAGCACGUGUUGAGGUGAGGGGAGGGGAAGAAGGAUGAAAGCAGCCUGAGGGGAGGGCAGGCGUGCCCUAGAGUCAGACCGAGUGCACGUGUCCCGUGUUGUGCCUUGACGGUCAGUCGAACAUAAAAAUUGAAAAAAAAAACAUACAUAAAUCUUCGUGUAAAAUCAAUGAUAGAAUUUAGAUGUGCAAUGCGUAGAGUACAUCUAGAUGUGCUUUAGCAAAAUCGUUUUCUCGUGUCCUCUCCAUCAAAGACAUUGUUUAACUUAGGCCAACCUCAACGCGGGCGCUCCAACGGACGCGGAUGUUGCCCUUUUUUGUAUGUUUGGGUUGGCUAGGCAAACGGUCAAUGUUCGAUUUUUGUCCGCCGAACCAUAGAUUAGCCCAACGCGGACGACAGAUUUCAGAAUUAUAAAAAACUAGAGCCAAGAAAAAAAAUAAUGAAAUAGCCACCAGAAGUCCAGUUUACAUAAAUUAAAAUGAAAACAUAAAAAAAAUGAAAAUGAAAACAGGCACACGGUGGAUGCAGGCAGUGGCGGCGGCGUCAUCCUUCUCGGUCAAGUCGACGUACACCGGCGCAUCCAUCCACGAAGGCUGCUAGCGCCGCGCUGCACCUGUCGCCGCCUGCUGGACCGGUUGAGUGGUGUGUACAUGUGUGUCGUCUGCUGCUUGGCUACCAACGACGCGUGUCUCGGCCUCCUACAGGUGUCGUUGCUUCUCCUCUUCGUCACGCCUAGCGGAACAGGCGUGCCCAUGAAAUUGAACGCCGCAACUCCUCGAGCACAUGCGAUGCUUGCGGGUAAACCUGGGCAAACGUCGGGCCGGGCUUGUAAAAGCCCGACCUUCAUUUCUCAAGCCCGAGCCCGGCCCGAAGCCCGAAAUACUCCCUGAAAUCAAGCCCGAGCCCGGCCCGAAAUCAAGCCCGAAGCCCGAAAGCCCGGCCCGAACGCUGUUUUUUAGUACGUGUACGUGCAAGCCCGGCCCGAAGCCCGAAAGCCCGGCCCGAAAAAUAGAAAAAGACAAGCCCGAGCCCGGCCCGAACUACCUUUCGGGCUGCAAAACAAAGCCCGAGCCCGGCCCGAGUGUCAAGCCCGGCCCAACCCGGCCCGGGUUUUUCGGGCCGGGCUCGGGCCGGGCUGCCCAUGCCCGGGUUUACUUGCGGGUGUGGCCGCGGCCCGUUGGUCUCCACGCCGGUCGUUUAACUAAUUAAUGUUGAACCUUAUACUCCCACUAUUCCUUAAUACAGUGCAUAUAUGUUAUCUUAAAAGCCAAACUUUAUUAACUUUGACCAAGUUUAUAGAGAAUAAAAUACUUUAUAUAAUAAGAUGGACUAUCUCAUAUUAUUAUGUAUGUGAUAUUGUAGCUGUAGAUAAUUUCACCCAUAAACAUGUUUAGAGUUGACUCCUAAAAUAAUUUAUAUACACUAGAAGUAUUAAGCCUAAAACCUUACACACUCAAGACCACUUGUACCAUCGUUCAGGACAAAGGCCACUUCAAAGUUAUUGAUCCUAGGCCCCACGAUCAGCAGGCAUCGGCCUGGCUCGAUGAGAAUUUUGGGGGCCAUUGCUUUGGUUGAAGGAGAUUUACAUCUCCCACAAGGACCGGACGUGAAUACCCCGCAAAAAGAAAAGGACCGGACUUGAAGCACGAGAUGUGAUGUGUCCUCAUCCUAAUACUCUUUCGCUUUAUGUAUUUUCAACUUGUCUAGAUCACUCUCAUCGGUGUUAUUAAGCCAAAUCAUCAUUUCAUCUCAAGACUCAAUCUACAUGUGCCCAUCAUGUACCCCAACAAACGAGCAUAAACCCCCACCGAACCAGCCUAGACAAAGAUUACACCAAAAAGCGACGAGUCGGCCCACUGCAUGAAAUGCAGAAGAAAAGAACUGGCUUCGUGGUGGACCAAUAUGUCAAAGCCCAAUACCGCAAACCGGAAGGCCAUGGCUUCCCUAACAAUGCUCAUCUCUUGGGUUAUUUGAAACGAGAGAAAUUCUAGUGUUUAGAAAGAAAUCCACUAACAUUGUCAUGCUUAUCCACCCCUUCUACAUUCUCAAGCUCAUCCAGGACGAGGCAAGGCUUUUGGAUCACAGCGGGAGGUAGGCAUCUGAGCAUCAUCAUGCCGCACUUUUUUGUGUUGGUAGGUGUUCGUGAUGUAUAGUUAUCUCUAUUGGGCUAUGAUGUGGAACCAAUGUGAUGUGGAGUCAAGAAUACCAACAUGAGCAAAAUCCAGUUAGGUAGUUAUCGCAGAGAAAAAUACACCCUCUGUACUAAAUUUAAGCCGUUAAUAGGCCAUUAAAUUCUAGCUCUGCAUAACCCGGCAAUCCGGCCCAUGGGCACCCGAACCGAAUAAUAUUUAUAUGUAUAGAUUGUACUCCCUCCUUCCGGGAAAAGUUGUCACCGUGGCUUUUUUGCAAAAAAAAAAACCUUUGCUUUAGUCCGACACAACCCGCACUCCUCCGCCGCUCCUCUGCUCUGCUCAGCUCUACUCAGCUCCCUCGCUCGUCCUCCGCCGCAGCUCCCCUGCUCCGCUGCCUGUCCCCUCCUCCGCCGCCUCCCUGCUCCCGGUCCAUUUCCCCGUGCAGCUCCCGCCUCCCAUACCUAAAAAUCAUGUCUUCCCCCAAUCAACGGCAGCGAGGACGAAGCGGCGCUCGAUCUAGAGGGCACGGGGACGAGGGCAGCGACAAGUGUAGUUCUUAAUGAUGCAGAGCGCGGUGGAUGCUCCGGUGGGCUUCUACGGUGAACUCCAUCCUCUCCCUCCCCACCACCAGGACCACCUCCGGUCGCUCCCUUCCGCCCCGCGCCGCAACCACCCUCCCCUUCCCAAGAACCAUCGCCAGACCAUGUUCAUGUCGUCGGAAGGCGGGAGCACCAACGGCUCGUUGCUGGGGCUUCCCCCCUGGACGAGGAGGAGGACAACGAGGCCUGCCCCGUCAAUGGUUGCUGCUGAAUUGCAGUAUUCCUCGGGUCACGACGGUUGCUGUAUGUCCCAAUGUCAAAGGUUUGACAUUUGUUGCUGCUGAAUUGCAGUAUUCCCCGGGUAACGACGGUUGCUGCAUGUCCCAAUGUCAAAGGUUUGACAUUUGUUGCUGCUGAAUUGCAGUAUUCCUCGGGUCACGACGGUUGCUGUAUGUCCCAAUGUCAAAGGUUUGACAUUUGUUGCUGCUGAAUUAUGAAUUCUCAUCCUCUUUUCUUGUUGAUGUUGAAUGCUAAAUUCCGGCGAGCAGCUCCUCAGGUCGCCGGGCUUCUGGUGAAGAUCUUCGUGUGGGUCCUCGAGAUGCCGGUGGUGGGCUGGAUCUUGCUCUACAUCCUCAAGAAGGACAAUCUCAUCAACAAGGUGCAUGCACUUGUGCUGAAUGUUUUUUUAUGCCUGAGCGUCGCAAUUCUGAUUCUCAAUUCUACUCGCAUGUGUACGAUGUUUGUUCACCUGUAGGCAUUGAUCAGUACAGUUUCACCAAAGCAAUCUCUGGGCACAGUUAUUUUACAGCAGACAAUUCACUCUUCUGUGGUGUUUUUACUUUUUGCUGAAAUGCUCUGCUGAUUCAGAAAAACCAUUAGCUGCUGUUGCUGCAGACACCCUAGCCAAAUUCAGUUAACUUAAUCUGAAUAAUUCAGUUAACUUAACAGGGGAGCGUGUGUAUGCUGCGAACGAAUGCAUUUACUGAAUGUUAUUUUGAGGGACAUGUUUUUAUCAACUCUUAGUUAAGAUAAAUUAACCGUGUAAGGUGCUCUUUUGAUUACUAGUGAAGUGCUGCUCUAAAUAUCAUUGCAGCAAGAAAAACUUCAGUUUACUACAGUUUUCAGUUUGGAAUAGUGCACAAAAGACAAAUAGAUUCCUAUGCACUAUUGUGCGCUAUUCGGAGCACAAUUCAGUGUACUGCAGUUUAUUGCAUAAUUGUGCACUUUUUUAACACAUAACUUAGUCUGAAAAAAAAUUAAAAGCAACAAUGUCUAUUCCUGCUACCCUAGUUGAUCUAGUUAUGCAAAUGUUCAGAAAUGUCCAGUUUGUACAUUUUGAAAAAAGGCUGCCAUGGCCACAAAGGAUGCCAUGCAAGAUUGUUCACUUAAACUUCACUGUACAGCAACUUAAAUUUUGUGCAUCUACUGUUUACUCCACUGUACAAACUUGAAUUUGUGUGACAUGAGCUUUUGUUGGUUGCUACUCCACUAGAUAUUGACUGAUUAGACUAAACUGUAGGAUAGUGGUGCUGGUCCAUCUAGGGCACUACUCCCAUUUUUGCUCACAAUUAUUCAGAUAAGGACUACUCCUAGUAACAAAACAGAUCAUUUACUGAAAAUAGCUCUACAUAUUUUAGCAAUAGCUCUACAUUUACUGAAAAUAAACUUGAUGUACUGAGAAGAAACUUGGGCAUUGUUUACUGAAAAUAAACUUUAUCUACUGAAAAUAAACAAUCACUGAUCAGCAGCAGUUCUCAUCACCAUGAUAAGAUAAGCCAGAUGCUCUAUUUUUAAUUAACAGUAAUCCAUGAUCAGCAGCAGUUUCUUUCACUAAUUUUCAGUUAACAACAAUCCAUGAUUUUUUUUAUCAAGUGUGAUUUUGGGUAAAUAAGCCCUCUGUAAUUUAGAUCUUUACUACUGUCAAGUCUGACUUGUCAAUGAGAAACCAGUAACUAGUCAAUGUCAAAACUGUGAAAACUGAAAACAAAUUCAGUAAAUUUGAUCUUUUAUGCUGCAUUGCUGAAAAUUGACAGUAAAUUUUCAUGUACUGAAAUGAAGGCUCAAUGCUGCAUUGCUGACUGGAUAAAUUCAUUGCUGAACAAUUUCUGAACUUUAAUUUGUUCAUUGCGUAUAUGAAGGCUCUCUAGCACAUCAGGAUGAUCCACUCAUCAAAUUACAGACUAGAUGAUCCGCUGCUACUCUAAUUCACCUCAAUUUGAUCUGCACAACAAAUUAACAUCAAUUUGACAUUGAUUUCAGGGCGCUGGCUACCUUUCAGUAGCAGCAGAGGCGGCGAGGAGGAGCUGGGUCGCCUGGACGAAGAAGAAGAAAUCGGCAAGGAGGAAAGGGUGGGCGGCGGUGGUCGCCUCUGUAGCAGGUGGGCGGCGGCGUUGGGCCCUACAGUGUUUGCGCUGGUCACCUCGGUGCACGGCAGUGGAGCAGCGGCUGCCCGAGGUCUUGCCCAACUCCCACAGCAGAGUGCCCGGCCUUGGCACGCCGGGGUUGCGACCGGAGAUGCCGGGGUUGCGACCGGAGAUGCGAGCAGAACGACGAGUAGAGCCGCCCAUGAGCCGUGGAAUCACCGCCCGUCGAGGUGUCGCCGCGGAGGAGCAGGUGGGCGGCGGCAAAGCUCGCCUCCGCAGCGCAACUAGGCAAGGGCGGCGCAAGAUGGCAGCUGCGGGGCAGGUGGGCGGCGGCGCAAGUGGGACUUCAUCACGCGGUGCUCGCAGGCGAUGGGGGGAGACGAAGGCUAGAGCAUGCGGUGCCGGCGGGCGUCAGGGGAGGAAGAAGGGCUGAUUAGAACUAGAUUUAAAAUGAAAGGUUUUUUUUGUAAAGUUACAAUUGAACUACGCUGGUGACAACUUUUCCCGGACGGAGGGAGUAUAUUGGUAGUACAGUUGCAUCGAGGGGUAACGCAUAAAGCCAAGCCACUGACGUUAGCUAUCAAAAAUUUCAUUCCAAGCCAUGACAACUAAUAUUCUCGCACUCGGUUGCAUCCAAAUGGACAAGCAUGCUACCAGAUUGACCAUAUGGAUUACAGCACCGCCAACCACUUGUAUAUAUGACUUGAACAGGCAUCAGCCCAGAGAAGGGUGGACAUAUAAAAAAGCUUCAUUGCUGCUCCAAGGCAUACUUAUUACAACUAAUCAGAAAGCAUCAUCAGAACUAAUCAGACUUGAAGUACUUCAUGGUGGUAGUUCAUACUCUUGUAGCUUGUGAUUAUCUAAUAUCAAGAUUUCUAGGCGGGCAAUUUUAUUCAUAUACGUUUCAUGAAAAUUAUGUCGUUAAAGGAGGUAGUAGUUCAAGGUAGCCCACUGAAAGCUAAGGAAUUAACCACAUAGGAGAUCAAGAUGUAGAAUACACUGAAGUUCAAAUGAACAUAUUACUGGAAAUAUCAACGGUGCAUAGAAAGGGGGCAACACACAAGAGGCAAACAUAGACAUAUAUAGGGGAGGAGUGCUGCAGAUUAGGCUGCACCCCUGUGGGCCCUGGGAGUAAGCAUGUAGGCACGCAAUAUCCAACGCAUUCAUAUGGGCAAACCCCACUCUAUAUCCGAUACACUUGGCGAUCCGCGUUGCAGAUGCUCUUACACCCCUGUGUGACAUUUCAGCAUUCAAAUGGUUGCUCACUGAAAGCAAGCCAUCCCAAUUUGCACGCUUCCACCUAGUCACACAAAACCCUAACCCUAACACAUACCAUAAAUACAAGUGAUGGUAUCUGAUCUCAAUACACCUCUGAAUGAGCCUUACUCAUCAUCGCCAUCAACAGCACUUUGGCGCAAAUCCCACAAAGAGAACAACAGAGAAGCCAAUAGUCAAAGAGCGCAAGAUGGCAAGGAACCACAGGAGAAUCAGUAAAAGCAGAAAGAAUCACUAUAUCAGGAGCAAAUCAUGAACUGGUGGACACAAAAACUGGGACAUGUAUAAGUAAAUGGCUCAGAUACACUCCCAUCUCAACACUAUAACUGAAUUUCUGGUAGAAUGACCAUGAACAUUUAUAUUUGUGAACGGAGGGAAUAACAGUUAAGAAGGGAGCCUUGGAGCAGCGGUAAAGCUGUAGCCUUGUAACCUUGAGGUCAUGGGUUCGAGUCCUGGAAACAGCCUCUUGCAGAAAUGUAGGGAAAGGCUGCGUACUAUAGAUCCAAAGCGAUUGGACCCUUCCCCGGACCCUGUGCAAGCAGGAGCUACGUGCACCGGACUGCCCUUUAGGGAGUAAUAGUUAGCCGCUAAACUGGUUACUUGCUGUGACACAAGCCAUCCUAGUUUAGCACCAAGUAAAUCGAUUCAGGUGUUAAGAUAGAAGCUCUCACAGGGAGGUUAUAUCAUCACAGCCAUUCAUGAACAUGAUACGAAGAAAACAGUAAUCUUGACAGCUGAACUUGCCCUAUACGACCCUUAAGUUGAAACCAGUAAAGAAGUAACGCGAAACCAAAAGUACAAACUGAUAAGUAGAUAAAGAGUACAAUAGAAGGAUGAAAUUAUCAAGUCAAAUAGCAAUUGAAACAAGCAAACUGACCCAGCACCAAAUAAGAUAGUUUCAAAAGCCAUCCAAGGGACAGCAGAAUUAUCAUAGCCAUUCAAGAAGAAGGAAGAAACGGAAAAAGGAAAAAAAACAGAAGAAAUAAUUAAGUGUGGCUGGAGUACUGUUCCUAAAACAACAGAACUCGUUGACUACUGCAAAACCAACAAAAUGUGUAGGAAAAAAGGAAAAACAGUCCCUUGCAUCCACCAGACCAUGAUUUUACCGAAAGAACUAAUAUCAUAACCAAACUCUCAACAUAUCUUUAACAUAUACAUGGAUGCGAGCAAGCAAGAAAUACAAAUUCUCAGAAAGGAAAAGAUCAGUUCAAAUUUUGGGAAGGAAACACUUAUUUUUACUCAGAACUUUAUUGGGCGGGAGUCUCGGAAUUGGCCAAUUUAUAGAAGGUAGUCAUGGUAUUUUUGCAACAAGAGAUUAUAAGAGGUAGAUACAGGCUUAUGACAACAUUGUGUUUUUCCACGUAUUGCCUUCUAUAAGCAAUUAAAAUGGUCAUCAGCAGAAAGCAAACCGUGCAAAUUGUAUUCCUUGAGACCAGUUAGCAGUUGCUGUGCUGGACCAAAACAGUAGAAAAGAAGUUUGACAACUUGCCAACUUGAAUGUACAUCACUGCCAAAAGAACCAGUAAAAAUUUAAUAGGGGUAGUAAAUAAGGACAUGGAAUAUGACCAAAGAACUAGCCAUGGGCAAUUGGGCAGGGGUGCGAGGAAGCUAGCUAUCCAUGUGCCAGAACCAUGAGUUGGUUGCGAGAUCCUAUGGGUUUGCUGUUUUCCAUGUGCCAGCUCUAGCCUACCCCAACUUGUUUGGAACUAAAGGCUUUGCUGUUGUUGUUGGUAGUAAAGGAGGACAUGCACAGAUCAUCUUCCGCAUAUUUAACCACUCAACAGAAUGACCAUCCAAGACAGAGCCAUCAAUAUUCGGUCAGAAUGAAAAGGUCAUAAAAGAGGGGAGAGCGUUUUUUUAAUACCCACGGCUCCUCGAAUAAUCGAAGACAGGUUUAUUGUCAGCCAAGUUUGAUCAUCAUCGCCCCUUAUAAAUAGAUAGAGAGAUCCCUUUGCGCAUGCAACAGGUAAGGGUGAAAAGUCGGUUGGACCAGAUACAGAAUAUCUGCAGCUAAGCACAGUAUCAGCAGCUGGAGGGCGAUUAGAACAUGAGGAAUAGUUCACAAAAUCCUGGGGAAUUUUUGGGGAGUACUAUUUGAAUGAGUGACUCAAACACCAUGAAUCACCAAAGUUGGGAAAUGCUUCAGGUGGUACAAAGUACUGGGAAAUUUUUGGGGAGUACUAUUUGAAUGAAUGAAGUGGUACCAUAAACAAUAAAAUAUCUGUCUCCCUCUCCCUCUCUCUCUCCAGCAACAAAUUGCCGCAACUAGUAACUUGCUGCAGCGCAAGGCCUCCUAGUUUAACGACCAGCUGUCUAACUGGGCAAAUUUGAAUGGAACCAACCUAGGAGACGUGAAAGCAUCUCUAUCACAAGAUAGUUGAAAGAUCUCCAACGCCAAGGGGCAGAAAUCACCAUAGCCAUUCAGAAAAUAAUAAAACUCAUCAACACACAACGGAAACAAAUAUGCUGUGUUCAGAAGUUAACUUGGAACACUGCACUGAUGUCCGUAUUACUGGCAACGAAAGAAGCAAUUGACAUUUGUACACUUCAGAUAAAAGGAGUAACUACAAGCCAAAUAAAAAUAGGAUGACAUAAACUUUCCGUUUUGAAACAGCAGAAAAGCAUAAGCUUGCAAAAAGGGAUGCACAUAAUACAAACAGAAAACAGGAAAUGCAGCUCGCCCGUUUAUCCCAUGAAAAAUGGGUUCUAAUGCUAAAUAGUCAGACAUGUAACACUGGAUAGUGGCAAUACUAUUCCACCAUGAAACUGAACAGCGGUCAGUCCAACCUCUGGCAAAAUGAAAACACAGCCAAAUCAAGAAUACUGAAUAAAAUUUAAAAUAUAUAAUGAGAAGAGGGCCAACCGCCAACAUAUAAAUCCCAAAUGACUCAAGCAAAAGCUCCAGGAGGACAUCCAGUUAUGAUAAGACAAAAUCAAGGUUUUUGAGUCGAUGAGUCGGCGAGUCGCUCAGGGGGGGCGACUCUAGACUAGUCGUGACUCAUGGUCGACGAGUCGACAUGCGAUGAGUCGACGUGAGUUAAGUAGUAGGGAGCAGACCAGCGGCAACUAAGGGAGGAGCCGCAGCAGCAAGAGAUGGGAGGGGCAGACCUGCAGUAGCAGCAACCAAGGGAUGAGCAGCAGCAACCAGGGGAGAAGGGGACGAGCAGCCAGCCAGCGGCAGCGGCUGCUGCAGAAGAGAGCUGGGUCGGGGGAGGGGAGUGGAACUGUUCGAUCUAGGUUUCCAGACGCUCCAAUCUUCCUUCAAUAUUGGCCCAGAAGCAAUAUUAGCCCAAUAAGGCCCAAUGAAACCCUAGCCUGCCUAGCUCAAUCUGAACCAUCUAUAUUCUCUAAUCUUCACCGUCCAUCCACUCUCUUCUUUCUCUCUCUCUCACCUGCUCCCCUUCCAGCCUCCAGGAACGAAUCGACAGCCGCAAUGGCCUUGCUGCAGCUCCUCUUCCAUGGCUUCUCUGCCUUCGCCCCUUCCUCUCCGCCUCCCCCAUCCUUCUCUGCUCCGUUUUCUACGCCCAACUCCUCUUCCAUCACAGGUUGAUCGAGUCGUUCGACUCAAAAACCGCGACUAGUCGAGACUAGUCGGGACUAGUCGAUCAAGUCGCUCGACUCAUCCAAUGAUUCGAGUCGACAGGUUGAGUCAACCUUCAUGUAACGACUCGUCGACUAGUCGACGACUAGUCGCGACUAGUCGUUCGACUCGAAAUCCAUGGACAAAAUAUAAGAGCCUUUCUAACAAAUACACUUUUGCAGUUGAUAAAUUUAUUUGACACUCAUUUCGAAUCCGUGCAAGGGAUCUGUGCCACGUUGAUGCAUCAGAAAUGUGGCAGUUAAUAUUGACAGCAGCAGCUAAAGAAUAGACUAACUACCAAUGAACUAAAUAGCAUAGAGAAUCAUAACAAAAGGUCUGCUCUGACCAAAACAAAUAUGAAGGUAAUAUGAGCUUCAGAUUAUAAAAAACAGAGACAUAGCAGAUCAAAGGGCAAUCGAUAACCAGAUGAAUAGAACUGUCAAUAGCUACAAGCAUUGGAGGAAAAAAGGGCAAUCGUUUGACUCAUAUAUAGUACGUACAACUAGAAAGGCAAAAACGAUGCCAACUAGAAACCAACCCAAGUAAAGCUAGGGUUGUUGGGUUCGUCACCAAGAGAAGAUAUCAAUCCAGAUCCGGAUCUCACAUCAACACAAUAGAGAAAUAGAAAAUUAAAAACAAUGUAUAGUGGAGAAAAAAAAACUGAGUAUUUGUAGCGUAGCAAGAGGGCUCAGUUUUGCCUUUUAUCUUGAAGCCCAACACUCACGUCUCUUGCUGCAUAACCUACCCAUCGCGAUGUAAUUGAACUGCCCUGGUUAUCACUCAUCAGAAUGACCAUCCGAGGCGCAGAACAUCCAACAUUAGCCAUGAAUUGAAUAGGCUGCAAGAGAAGUAAGGGUGAGAGCUCUUAAGGGCAUCUCCAACGCCGGCACCCAUUUGGGGCCUAUUUAGUACCCACAUGCCACGGCUGUCUUGAUUGCUCAACACAUAAUUAUUUCAGCCGCAGGCAUCAUCAUCGCCCUUUUUUUUUAAAAAAAAAAAGGUCAAACCCCCCAAGCAACAUGACCAUAACAUCCAUCAUCCAUCCAUCCAUUCAUCCAUCAGACUAGCCAUAGUGGUGAGUAACUUAGACAAUCUCAGGAGCUGCUCAUACCUGGCCUUGACCGACCAAACCUCCUGGUGUGGACGACACAUCAGACAACGCCUUACGGUUCCCAGCCACGCCACAACCAAAUCCAAGGCAAUGGACUGGCGGCGGCUGGCAGCACCGUAGAGACCGGGAACUGACAUGGCAGCUACCCGGACGAUGGGUCAGCGAGUCGGCAAUGAAAGCUUGACUGAUUUGUUUAAGGGAGAGANNNNNNNNNNNNNNNNNNNNNNNNNNNNNNNNNNNNNNNNNNNNNNNNNNNNNNNNNNNNNNNNNNNNNNNNNNNNNNNNNNNNNNNNNNNNNNNNNNNNNNNNNNNNNNNNNNNNNNNNNNNNNNNNNNNNNNNNNNNNNNNNNNNNNNNNNNNNNNNNNNNNNNNNNNNNNNNNNNNNNNNNNNNNNNNNNNNNNNNNNNNNNNNNNNNNNNNNNNNNNNNNNNNNNNNNNNNNNNNNNNNNNNNNNNNNNNNNNNNNNNNNNNNNNNNNNNNNNNNNNNNNNNNNNNNNNNNNNNNNNNNNNNNNNCUCAGUUUUGCAUUUCAUCUUCAAACCCAACACUCACAUCUCUUGCUGCAUAAUCUACCCAUCACAAUGUAAGAGAACUGCCCUGGUUAUCACUCAUCAGAAUGACCGUCCAAGGUGCAGAACAUCCAACAUUACCGAUGAAUUGAACAGGCUGCAAGGGAGGUAAGGGUGGGCUCUAAUUUAGUACCCACAGGCCAGUCAUCAUCAUCGCCCCUCAUUUUUUACCGAAAAGGAGGUUGUACCCCCGGCCUUUGCCCACCAAGCAAGAUGACCCUCAUAUCCAUACAUACAUACUCCCUCUGUAAAGAAAUAUAAGAGCGCUUAGAUCAUGCUCCCUCCGUUUCUAAAUAUAAGCCUUUAUAGAGAUUCCAAUAUGGACUACAUACGGAGCAAAAUGAGUGAAUUUACAUGCGUGCACAUGUCCACCCAUCCAACCCCAUCAGCCUCAGGAGCUACUCAUGCCUGGCCUGGACCGAACAACCAAACCUGAUGACGCCCCAGAUAACACCGUAUGGUUCCCGGCUCACGCCACAGCCAAUUCCAAGGCAAUGGAACGGCAGAGGCUGGCAGCACCGCAGCAGUGAACUGAAGAGGGCACCACCCAGACGAUUGGACAGCGAGUUGGCAAUGAGAGCUCGACUGAUUUGGCUUAGGGUUAGAGGUAGAGGGGUGGGGGUAUAUGUAGCAUAGCAAAAGAGGCUCAGUUUUGUCUUCCAUCUUCAAGCCCAAACCCUCACCAUCUCUUGCUGCAUAAUCUACCCAUCACGAUGUAAGAGAACUGCCAUGGUUAUCACUCAACAGAAUGACCAUCCGAGGCACAAAGCAACCAACAUCAGCAAUGAAUUGGACAGGCUGCAAGAGAGGCAAGGGUGGGCUCUAAGGCCAACUCCAACGCGGACACCGAUUUGUUCAGCUCUGUUUAGUACCACCACGCCACGGCUGUCUUGAUUGCUCAAGACAUGAUUAUUUCAGCCAUCAUCAUCAUCACCAUCAUCAUUGCCCCUCUUUUUCCCCCAAAAAGGAGGUUCACCCCCCGUCCGGGAAGGCAACAUGACCAUGAUAUCCAGACAUACAUACUCCCUCCGUUCCAAGAUGUACUCCCUCCGUCCCAAACUAAGUGUCAUGGUUUUAGUUCAUGACACAUGAACGCAUACAUCCAUCCAUCCAUCCUGCUCAGGAGCUGCUCAUACCUGGCCUCGACCGACCAAAUCUCCCAGCUCGAACGACGCAUCAGACAACAGAGCACAGUUCCAGCCCACGCCACAACCGAAUCCAAGGCAAUGGAACGGCGGUGGCUGGCGGCUCCGUAGCGGUGUGGAACUGAUGCAGCGGCCACCGGGACGAUGGGUCAGGGAUCCGGCAACGAGAGCUCGCCUGAUUCGGUUUAGGACUUACCGGUGUGAACAAUGCUCGCGCGCAGACACAGAGUGAGCGAGUGUGUGUGAGCCUGAGAGAGAGAGAGAGAGAGAGAGAGAGAUGGGGAUAGUACCGAAUCGAAAGCAACAUGCAGCCAAGCUGCGACGGCGGCUCAGAUCCCGCGCCGGCCCGACCAAGCCCUCGACCGGAGCGCACCACGGGCCCCGCCGCCCGGUCCCCAGCCCGCGCCGCUGCGGACGCCUCCCGCACAGGCGGCAUUCCCGAGGGGGGCCCCCGAGCCGAUGCGUGACGGCGCGGCGGGAGGGGCUGGGCCCGAGGAGAGGCGACCCGGCGCGCCCGCCGCUCGGGAGACCGGCCGGCGCCAGGCGGCUCCUCCAUCAUCGCCGCCGUUUGGGGAGGGACGCGGCCAUCAGCCACGGCGAGCGGGACGGACGGUGCGGCGGUAUUCGAUUGGAUCCGAUUAGAGCGGUCGCAUCGCGUGCUAUGCUCGCCGCCGCACGCAGCCAUGCCGCCGGUGGCCUCUCGCAGCUGGACUGAUCUGAGGUAGCUAGCUAGCUAGGGUUCGGCGGCGACGGGAGAGGAGAAGAGAUGGAUCCAAAUUAAGUUUCUGAUGAAAAUGGUGAUUUAGGCAAAGGUAACCCGAGGAGGCCUGCGAGGGCCGAAUGAAAGAAAGGGGGACUGGUCUCACGGUGCAUUUUCUCUUGGCAUUUUAUUUUAGAGUAAAAUGCACCGGCAGUCACUCUACUUGCGAAAAGCGCUCAGUUUGGUCACUGUACUUAGAGAUACGGCCAAUACGAUCACCCAAUACAACAAGACGUGUUUGUACGAUCACUAUUACUCGUAUGCCACCCGACGCCGCUUGGUUUGACCACGUAUUGACCUAUCCUUGACGACAGCUGGCAUUAAGCAGGCGGUAGCGCGGUGUUUUUGCAGAAUCCCCCCUGGUUCGUUGUGCUUUAGCCCAAAACGCCUUGCCUGUUCGGCUUCGAUCAUAACAGGGGGAGGAGGAGGAGAGCAGGGGCAGAGGAGGCGAUCGUCGGCGGCAGCGCACCAUCUCCGGUCAUCGAGAUCGCGAAAGGGCCGGAGUCGCCGCGGAGGUGCGCCGCAUCUCCUCAGGAUGGCGCUUGUUCGUCGGCCAGAUGGAGCUCCUCCACCGUACUACGGUAAGCCCCACGUACAUCCGCCAUGAUUGGUGCUUGCAGUCUCCGAUUCCGCGAUUUAGGGUUUCGCAUUGUGCACAUGGAGUUAGGAGGCCAAUUUUGCCCGCAAGUUUUCACAAGAUUUAAGCUAGGGUUUUUGCCUAACAAAUUGGGGGUUUCGGUGUAUGGUUUUUGGCUGACAAAUUAGGGGCUAAGUGCUUGUUUGUGGGUCAUUCUGAAGCAAUUGUAGGCCUUUUAGAUGUUUGAACAUACUAUUGGGGUUUUAGGUUAGCAAAGGUGGUUCCUUGUAGGACAGAAUUGUGCAGAAUUGUGCUCUGUUUUCAUCUUUGACAGUUGACAGAAUUGUGCUCUGUUUUCAUCUUUGACAGAAUUGUGCUUUGUUCUCAUCUUUGUAGGACCACGCAGCAGGAAAUUUUUAGUUCAAUUUAACCAUGGUGGAUAUUUCCUUGGCAAAGGUAGCAACCGUUCUUAUGUCAAUGGGCAUGUGUUGUGGUAUCAUGAUUUGGAUACAGUGACAUGGUCCCCAAUCAUGGUUGAGCACCUAGUUGAGGAGAUUGGUUGGGAGAUGGCAGGAAGGCUGAAGGUUUACUACUACAUUCCAAUCCUAACCUUGCAGAAGAAUGGCUUGAGAGGAAUAAGAGGAGAUGGAGACACAGACCAGAUGAUAACCUUUGUUGAUCUUGGCCACCACUCAUUCAGUCUGUAUUUAGACCAUGAAGACAGUCCGAAUUCAAAUGAUGAUGAUGAUGUGGUCAAUUUCCCAAGAGUGCAUCUACCCCCAGUGUUUAGUCCUUCUAAGAAAGAGUUGAUCGGUCAGAAAGUACUGAGGCUGUAAAUGCAGAGACAGAUGUUCAUGUCCCUGAAGGUGUAGGGCAGGAAGGUGAAGCAAUCCCAAUACAAGUUGUGUAUCCAGAGAGCUUAGAUGUUGAUGUGGGCAAUUAUGUGUUUGCAAGGAGGGAUUGUUCUUUUGGUAACCAGGAUGAAAAUGCUGCAGCUCCAGAUGAUCUCCAGGAAGCAAUACAACACGGAAGUGAUGAAGCUGGAUUAUCAAGAGUAUGCAAAAGGAAAAGCAGACAGAAAAGCAGUUCUGAUUACAUUGAAGAUGUUGAUAGUGACUCAGAUGACUCUGACUUUGAUCCUGGAGCCAUAGUGGACAGUGACUAUGACAUUAGUGAUGGUGAUGAUGAUUUCUAUGCUGACAAUGUAGACAUGGAUGAGCCUGUGGUGACAGAGAAGAAGAAAGAAGAGAAAGGGAAGCAAAAAGUUGAAAAGGGAAAAGAAGCGGUGAAAGGAAAUGAGAAAUAUGGAGAUAAAGCAGCAGCAUAUGAUCAUGAAGAUGAGUUAUAUGCUGACAAUUUUGUAACCAGUUCUACAAUAUACUUCUUUACCCUACUUAUGACUAUGCUUAAUGCCCUGGUUAUAACAUUGCCCAACAUAUGGUCACAUUUGUCCUUUCCAACUUGGAGCAGUUCCAUAGUUAUUUUGCAAGCAAAAUGAACACAACAUUUCAUUGCCUAAUUUGAUAGCACACACACAAGCAUCAGCAACUAGCUUUGCAAUGCACACACACAAGCCAAAUAUGACAAUGGUCAAAUGUGCCCAAAUUGACAACACACACACACACACACACAAGCAUCAUAAACUAGCUUUGCAAUGCACACACACAAGCCAAAUAUGACAAUGGUCAAAUGUGCCCAAAUUGACAGCAUCACCAUAAGACAUCAAAGAUGAUCCAUUAACUUCCAUUUACAGUACAAGAUUGUCACUUGCAUUACAUAUUACCAGAUACAAUGCAAAAGAUUGUCACUUGACACUAACAAUACUACCACAUAGUACCAGCUCAUCUCCUAACAAACUAGGCAUCAUUCCUAACACACUAACAGUGAAAUAGCCAUACUGCAUGAACUACAUAUUGCAUCUACUCCAUCACUUCUUCAGCAGAGAAAUAACUACAAGCACUGCAACUACAAUGAGUGUUGCCAACAGUGCCUUCAUCAUCACCAAUAUUUCAUUGCCUAAACCUACAAGUGCCUCUGCUUGCUGAUUGCUCAUUUGCCCUGGAACUCUUCCAUGAUUUCCAACUUCAAAGCCUGGAAGUUCAACUGCGCCUCCACCUGCAUAACUUUCAUUCCUUGCUUGCACCAGCUCUUCCCUCCUAUCUUCUGCAACUCCUAAUGCAUCUACGGCUUCAUUGCCCGCGAGAAACUGAUUAUCCAGCAAUUAGCCAAUGUAUUCCAACUCCCAAUGCCAUAAAUGGUCCUGAAGAUCAAAAGAAAAGAACAAAUGCCAAAAAUCACAUUACAAGUUCCCAAGAUUCGACCAAAAUGAAGAACAGGGAUGCACUCCACUUACACCAACAGGACACCUGUAGAAGACCCAACCCUCGUGCUUCUCCGUGUUGGAGAGAUAGAACUUAACACGAGUGCGGCAAGAAGGGCAUCUGAUGAGUGGCACCACCAUCGAACGACCACCGAACGAAUACCUGACCGAGCUCGUCGACAUGGGGAGUGGGAGGGAGAGGAGAGGGAGGCGGCAACCGGCAAGGAGAGGGUGGCGGCAAGCGGCAGGGAGACGCCGCCGACAAGCAGCACGGAAGAGGGCAACGACAAAUAGCAGGGAGAGGGCGGCGGCAGAGUGGGGAAUUAAGGAUUCCGCCACAGCGUGGGGUAUUUCAGGGUGGUCGAUGGAUAAUUACAUGCGCGGGGCUAAUUUGCAGAAAUAACCCUCAUCGUGCCGAUGUGGACGACACUGUCUGGUUAAAGCGAGCGGCGACGGGUGGCAUACGAGCAACAGUGACCGUACAAACACGUGUUGUCGUAUUGGGUGACCGUAUUUGUCGUAUUUCUAAGUACAGUGACCAAACUGAACGCUCUUCGCAAGUUGAGUGACUGCCAGUGCAUUUUACUCUUUAUUUUAUUCAACAAGGUCGGCUAAUUUUUCUACAGAAAACUUCUGAUCUAUUCAUGGCAAUCAUGAUAGUACAAAGAACAUCAAAAGUAACAAAAAUUCAAUUUAAAUUUGUAGAUCAUCUAGCGACGACUACAAACACCGAAGGCGUGGCACCAUCAUCGCCCUACACUCGUCGAAGCCGUGCAAAUUUUGUUGUAGUAGAUAGCCGGAAAGUUGUCGUGCUAAGACCCCAUAGUACCAUAACAACAACCACCGCCGAUGAAAAUAAACUAAGAUUGAAAGGAUCUAACUCGAAGACACAAGAAUAUAUAUGAACAAAGACCGGAUCCGAGCUGAUCCACCAAAAACAACCAUGACUAAACCCCUGUGAGAUACGAUGGAGACACACAUCUACACGCACUCCGACGAUGCUAGACGCACCUUAUGGAUGAGGGCUAGGCGGGGAGAACCUUAUUCCGUCUUCAGGGAGUCAUCGUCGUCCGGCCUUCCACUACACAUAACACAAACCCUAACAAAACUCAAAGAAACAUCUAAAAAUGGAGUCCUCCCGCCGGAAAGGGUCGGGAUCCACCACACCAUAUGGCACUAAGGCCGCAUGAGACGAGGCAGAGCAGAUUGGCGGCGCCAACAGUAGGCGGGAACCCUAGUCGCGUGUUCGCUUGGGAGGAGAGAUGGAGAGAUAAGUUGAAUCGGAACAACGUGUUGGCCAGUUCUUUUGUGGCUUACUUGGAGCUGUGGAAGUUGCCCCUACCCAGUUUAUUCUAAAAGCCUAAUAUAAAAUAUUACUUUAGAAACUUCCUAAUUAAGGGUUAUCAGUCAAACAUGGACCAUCAAUCAACAACAAUUACUAAAUCCACCUCAAACAACGUCCCCCUUCAUAUAGCUAAAAAUAGAGAACCUAGGGCCCGUUCGGAUCCCGUCAUCGCCCGUGCGCAGAACAGACGGGAGACACCAGGGACUGCAAACGUCCCUUGCCGAUUCAUAGAUAGAGCGCAAGGUGAGGGCCUACCGCAAUGAGAAAUGCACGAAAUGACACAACAAUCUACCCAGGUUCGGGCCGCAUGAUUUUGCAAUGCCCUACUACUUCUUCAUGUGUGGUUUAUUUGGUGAGCAGUGGACUACAAGUCCUUUACGGGAACAGUAAGAGUAGUGUACUCCUACCGGUGUUCUACCAAGCAUUCAACCCUCUUCUUAGUAGCCAGGUCCUCCCAAGGGGUAUCAUAAUGGCUUCAUUGCUAAGGAAACUACCUCGCCCCGACAAGGUAGGUACGCGCAUUAAAUGCGCGAUGAAGUGUUAUCGUCUCCUGACUCCCGGGAAUGAACAACCAUCUUUUCACCGCCGCUCAAGGUGGUGCCUUCGUCUGGUCAUCCUUUCAGUAUGUAAGCGGAUGACUUGACCCCGGCGCCGCUGUAACUGCACCGCCCAGGCUGCCUGCUAAGGAUGGCAAUUUUAUCCAUGGAUAUCCGACCCGAAUGGAUAGGGUUUGGAUGUGCUUUUGUGUCCAUGGCGGCGCCCAAACCCGACCCGAUUGUUCGUGGGUAGGGCAUGGAUAUAAUAUUGUACCCAUGGAUAUACCCAAACCCGACCCAAUAGUAUGACUUAAUGGGGGAAAAUGUGCUAUCCCUACCCCACGGUCACAUGUCCCACGACAAUUUUACACUUUUUUUAAUCUAAAACAUGCACAAGAAGUUACACAAUCCCCAUUGUAACUUUUAUGAGUUGACAUUCAAUCCCCUCCGUAACAUACUCCAAUGCCCCUUCCCUUAUUUUUAUCUCCUUAAAUGACUCGUCAUUCUCAUCUGUUAGAAAAAUACUAAAUGAUCUUAGGUUGUUAGUGGAUGUUGAUUUAUCAUAAGUGAAGCCUAGCCUGCCACGAGGUGAAGAAUGGAAGAGUUUAUGUUUAUAUUGUGUUACGUCUUAUUUAUAUGUCUCGAGAGGACCCAAUGGAUAUCUAGUGGGUAUGGAUAUCCAUCGGAUUUGGACAUGGACACAGUUUUUCACCCAUGGAUUUUUUCAUGGGCGGGCAAAGACUGUCUUUAUGGAUAUGGAUAUGGAUUUCAUAUUGUUCAACCCGAUCCAAACCCGACCCAUUGCCAUCUUCACUCAUGACGUGACACAAAAAGGACUGUACAAGCAAGAAGAACUAAUGCCAUGUGUUGUAGAAGAACUAAUGCAAUGAUGCCACAUCACCAAGUUAUGCAUGGAGUCACAAGUUACUUUUUACAUUAAUCCCUUCAUGUAAAACAUACCACCUCAUGCAUGACUUUUUUUUCCAGGGAAUUAAGUCAUGUAAGACACUUUUGCAUCUGUUUUUGCAUUAAUUUUAGUCUUAUUAUAUCAUUUAAUCGUACAUGUUUUUAUUCUUAAAAUAGCUACAAACCACCACCUAGUUUUCCUUUCCACGCAACAAUGCCUCAACAAAGUUAUGCAUGGAGUCAUAAGUUACUUUUUUUAUUAACCCUUUCAUGCAAAACAUACCACCUCAUGCAUGACUUUUCAAGGGAAUUAAGUCAUGUGAGACACUUCUAUAUUUGUUUUUUACAUUUAUUUUAGUCGUAUAUCACUUAAGGUCUUAAGCAUACAAUUAUUUAACAAGGUUCCCGCAGCAACUCGCGGGACAUCGCCUAGUGUUCCGAAACCAUGGUUUCAACACAAGGAAACCAUGCGUUCAACACAAGCUGGGUACUUGUGUGGAUGUCCAUAUCCGAUUGACCAGCUGACCGCUAGUCGCCGUACCUAAACAUAUCUAUACCACUACCAUUUAAUGUACAUUAUUUAUUUAUUUUUGAACCGGGCAUAACCCCUUUCCAUUACUGCGACAUAACGGAAAUACAAACAAGUCCACAGAAUGAGACGGGAGAGGGGAAGCGGGUUCAAGCAUAGCCGAGAAACCUACUGUGAGCACUCGCCAUCGAGAUAAACCACUGUAGGGCAAAAACCCGGCGACACCAAGUCAUUCAGAGUUUCAGACGAGGCAACCCCCAGACAGCUCACAGGUGAGCACCAAAAUGACAGUCCCACACAGGGGAGAGACUUCAGGAAUGAAACAUAAAACCGAGGCAACAUCAGAAAUACGCGUCUUCUUGUGAUGACGCAUCACCAUUCCCUCCAGCAGUUCUCCAGCGAGCUUCUCAGUCUUCGUUUGCAACGCAGAUGCGCAUCAGCCUCAAUGCACUAUUCUUCAGCAUGUCUACACCUGCUCGCAGGUCCACCACAUCCUCUUGCUUCAACAGUCUUGCCCAGUAACCAAGAAAAGCACACAUAGAAAAGCAACAUUCAAAAGGUGUUUGCAAACACUUAGAUUCGAACGUAACACCAUUGCGACAUGUCCAAAUAGCCCAGCAAAGUGCAGCUAUGCCAACUGUGUAGAAAAUCUCCCCACUUGGAAAGUAAACAUAACACCAGGAGUAAGCCUGCCAUAAACUGUUCGGGCACAAAUCAGUGCCGAGUAUGCAGGCAACACUUCUCCAAGUCACCCUAGCUAUAGGGCAAGUUAAGAAGAGAUGCUGAGAAGUCUCAUUCUCUCCACAGAAUGAACAUUUCGGGUUUCCUUUCCACCCUCUUUUUUUCAUCACCUCCCGAGUAAGGAUAGCAUCCUGGAAUAGCUGCCACAUAAAGAUUUUGAUCUUUAAAGGAACACCAGCUUUCCAAACCCACCCAAAACUGCACCCUGUGAUGUUUCUUUCCAAGAAAGAAUAAACCGAUUUGGUCGUAAAGACUUUUUUGGGACCCAGGCCCCACUUAAUGUAAUCUAAUUCAUCAGAUACACAGCUACCUCUAGCCUCCGAAAGAAACAUUGCAUUCAGGUACACUUAAUGUAAUCUCCUUCCAAAGAAAGUUAAAGGAUCUGCCUCCCAGCAAUUUUCCACAGUGCAUUCAGGGGAGUUGCAGAUUGAGAAUAACUGAAGGGAACUGGUCCUUAAAUGGUUUCUGAUCACCAAUGGGAUCGAUCCAAACCCUUGCUAUAUUCCUAGAUUGAAUAAUAACUCUUCUGCCAUAUAAAGGUUUUUCACCUUCAUAAUAGCUUUCCAGCAAGGCGAAUCAUUCACCUUUGCUUUGACAGAAGCUACCGUAUCUCUACCAAGGUAUUUAGCUUUAAUAAUCUCCUGCCAAAGACCAUUUUUGGUCUCCAACUUCCACCACCAUUUAGUAAGAAGGCUUAGGUUUUGCUUAUGUAAAUCUUUCACACCCAAACCACCUUUCUCCUUCGAUCUACAGAUACGAGUCCAUCGCACUAGAUAGUAGCGUUUUCUCUUUUUAGACACUUGCCAAAAAAAUCUUCUACAGUGUUUAUCCAACCUGUCAAUAAUGGUCUUCGACAGGAGGAACAUAGAUAAGUGUACAUUAUAACUGUUGAUCAUUUAAAUCUAGGACAUUGAUAAGUGUCACACGGGUGACACAAACACACGGCAACUUCGAAUAUUUUUCAGACAAGUUUAGUGACAUGAGGAUGAAUACUUUCUUUUCAAAUGGCAGGUUUACUUUUUUUAGGCUUUUUUUCAGAUGGCAAUUUUAGUUGUAAAAAACGUCAGGUCCAGAUUGCUUCGUGCAUGACACUUAUCAUUUGGGUAAAUGGUCGAGAGUAGUAGUAGCCUGCCACUACCUCCACCGUAUUGAACAUUGCUUGCAGCUUGAGCUGAGUAGCUGAAACUGCCAGUUCCAAUCCAGCCGAUGGAGACUGCGGCACUUCAGAAUCCAGAUGAAACUGUAUAACGAGACAUAACGGUAGACAGGUAGAGGAAACUCAAUAUUUAGAUUCUCAACAUUAUGCCUCUAGGUAAUGAAUAAUAAAAAUCUUCCUUACAAAUAGUAGUUAUGUACUGGGCAUUAUCUGUGUAUGUAUAGCAACAAUUUCAAAUAGUUUAUUCUGAUAUUUACUGGGCAUUAUCUAUGUAUAUGUAUGGCAACACUGAACAUAUAUAUGGCUAGAAAAUAGUCAAGAAUAUUCAGGGACAACUGUAGUUCUCGCAAAACGAAAUACACCUUCUGUUCCUAAAUGUAAGACGUUAAUUGAACUGCCAAAACAGCUUACAUUUAGGAACAGAGGUAGUACUUAAAAAUCUCAAACAACAUAACUUACAAACAGCAUCAACAGGCCACUAAAUUCUGGGAGUAAACUGUACUAGGCACAUAGCUGUCAAAAACAAAAUACAGGGAACUGGUUCCAGAGAUGAAAAAGAGGAAUAAUAUUGUAAGUACAGAUUGUGUGGUACUAGUACAGUUGCACCGAGGGCUCAUGCAUAAAGCCAAGCCACUGACAUGGCAAUUACUAGUAUUCUCGCCAUCUUAAUGCUCAUAUGCACUCACACUCGGUUGCAUCCUAAUGUGAUUGACCAUAUGAAUUACAGCACCACCAACACUUGCAUAUAUGACUUGAACAGGCAUCACUACAGAGAAGGGCGGCCAUAUAAAAAAGCAGGAAGGACUAAACAGGAACGCUGAGCAUAGAAACAGAACAUGCAAGUAACAAAGGACGUACAGUUGCAAAUAACAGCAUAUUUUGAACAAAAGAUGUGAAGCCCUCUGCCGCUUCCCAGGGCCCUCAAAUAAAGUAGAACCUCUUGAUGCAUCAGUAAGUAAAAGCAUUCUGAGUAUGUAAGUGUAAAAUAGCACAAAAUCCAGUUUGCUAUGAGCAUAUCUUGUAAGUUCCACAGAUGAUAACAUAUAUUACAGUGAGAUCCCAAUACUGCUAUAGUUCAUUAAUAGAUUGAGAAUAUUCAAAAACAUACAUAAGCAAAUAACCACAGAUUGUAGAAAGAGAGGUCAUAUUUAUCAAUAAAAAUGGGAGGCUCAGAGUUGGCUUGUCUAUCAUAUGGUCAACCCACUCUGUAUAGUGUAUCCUUGGUGAUCCGCGUUGGAGAUGCCCUUACACCCGUGUGACAUUUGAGCAUUGAAAUGGUUGCUCACAGAAAGCAAGCCGUCCCGAUUUGCACACUUCCACCUAGUCACACAAAACCCUAACCCAAAACCAUACCCGUAAAACAAGCAAUAGUAUCUGAACUCAGUACACCUCUAAUGAGCCUUACUCAUCAUCGCCAUCAACAGAACUUAGCACAAAUUCCACAAACAGAAUAACAGAGAAGCCAAUAGCAAAUCAUGAUCUGGUGGGCACAAAAGUUGGGACGUGUACAAGUAAAUGGCUCAGAUAUACCCCCAGCUCAACACCAUAACUGAACUUCUGGUAGAAGGACCAUGGAAUCUCUCUCUCUCCCUCUCUCUCUCCCUCCCUCCGUCCCUCCCUCCCUCCCUCCCUCCACUGUUAAGUGUAUUCAUAAUUCCAACAUUUAAGAAUUAUAGUUAGCCGCUAAACUGGUUACUUGCUGUCACACAAGCCCUCCUAGUUUAGUACCAACUGAAUCAGUUCAG
This 28192-nucleotide long non-coding RNA is filed under the name Triticum aestivum (bread wheat). Its description in RNAcentral is "long non-coding RNA (TAES_LNC016994)". Lineage: Eukaryota; Viridiplantae; Streptophyta; Magnoliopsida; Poales; Poaceae. The record is from RNAcentral.